CCCUUAGAUGUCCUGGGCCGCACGCGCGUUACACUGAUGCAUUCAACGAGCUUAUAACCUUGACCGAGAGGUCUGGGUAAUCUUUUAAAAACGUGUCGUGCUGGGGAUAGAUUAUUGCAAUUAUUAAUCUUCAACGAGGAAUUCCUAGUAAACGCAAGUCAUCAACUUGCAUUGAUUACGUCCCUGCCCUUUGUACACACCGCCCGUCGCUACUACCGAUUGAAUGAUUUAGUGAGUACCAGGGACCGAGCGCUUUGGUUGGGUUUCCUUCCCUAGCGCUUGGGAACUGUCGCAAACUUGACCAUUUAGAGGAAGUAAAAGUCGUAACA
Molecule: ribosomal RNA, 329 nt
Filed under: uncultured eukaryote
Lineage: Eukaryota
Description: partial 18S ribosomal RNA
Rfam family: Eukaryotic small subunit ribosomal RNA
Source: RNAcentral